RNAcentral lists this ribosomal RNA (253 nucleotides) under uncultured bacterium. Its description in RNAcentral is "partial 16S ribosomal RNA". It matches the Rfam family "Bacterial small subunit ribosomal RNA", at positions 524 to 776 of the family's 1533-position model. The record is from RNAcentral.
UACGUAGGGUGCGAGCGUUGUCCGGAAUUAUUGGGCGUAAAGGGCUCGUAGGCGGUCCAUCGCGUCGGGAGUGAAAAGCUGGGGCUUAACCCCAGUCCUGCUUUCGAUACGGGUGGACUAGAGGUAGGCAGGGGAGAAUGGAAUUCCUGGUGUAGCGGUGAAAUGCGCAGAUAUCAGGAGGAACACCAGUGGCGAAAGCGGCUUCCUGGUCCAGCACCGACGUUCAGGCACGAAAGCGUGGGGAGCAAACAGG